RNAcentral lists this transfer RNA (85 nucleotides) under Felis catus (domestic cat). It matches the Rfam family "tRNA". From Rfam's summary of the family: Transfer RNA (tRNA) molecules are approximately 80 nucleotides in length. Their secondary structure includes four short double-helical elements and three loops (D, anti-codon, and T loops). The record is from Rfam by way of RNAcentral. Lineage: Eukaryota; Metazoa; Chordata; Mammalia; Carnivora; Felidae.
GCCUGGGUGGCUCAGUCAGUAAAGCGUCCGACUUCGGCUCAGGUCAUGAUCUUGCGGUUCGUGGGUUUGAACCCCACAUCGGGCU